CACGGGUGCGUACACGUAUGUAACCUACCUUGUUCAGGGGGAUAGCCUCUCGAAAGAGAGAUUAAGACCGCAUAAUGUUAUUGAAUGGCAUCGUUUGAUAACCAAAUAUUUAUAGGAACAAGAUGGGCAUGCGGAACAUUAGCUAGUUGGUAAGGUAACGGCUUACCAAGGCUACGAUGUUUAGGGGAUCUGAGAGGAUGACCCCCCACACUGGUACUGAGACACGGACCAGACUCCUACGGGAGGCAGCAGUAAGGAAUAUUGGUCAAUGGGCGGAAGCCUGAACCAGCCAUGCCGCGUGCAGGAAGACGGCCCUAUGGGUUGUAAACUGCUUUUGUACGGGAAUAAACCUCGCUAUGUAUAGUGAGCUGAAUGUACUGUAAGAAUAAGGAUCGGCUAACUCCGUGCCAGCAGCCGCGGUAAUACGGAGGAUCCAAGCGUUAUCCGGAUUUAUUGGGUUUAAAGGGUGCGUAGGUGGUUCAUUAAGUCAGGGGUGAAAGACGGCAGCUUAACUGUCGCAGUGCCUUUGAUACUGAUGAACUUGAAUGAACUAGAGGUAGGCGGAAUGUGACAAGUAGCGGUGAAAUGCAUAGAUAUGUCACAGAACACCAAUUGCGAAGGCAGCUUACUAUGGUUUGAUUGACACUGAGGCACGAAAGCGUGGGGAUCAAACAGGAUUAGAUACCCUGGUAGUCCACGCCCUAAACGAUGAAUACUCGAUGUUGGCGAUAUACGGUCAGCGUCUAAGCGAAAGCGUUAAGUAUUCCACCUGGGGAGUACGCCCGCAAGGGUGAAACUCAAAGGAAUUGACGGGGGCCCGCAC
RNAcentral lists this ribosomal RNA (823 nucleotides) under uncultured Sphingobacterium sp. RNAcentral's name for it is "bacterial SSU rRNA". It matches the Rfam family "Bacterial small subunit ribosomal RNA", at positions 100 to 926 of the family's 1533-position model. The record is from RNAcentral. Lineage: Bacteria; Pseudomonadati; Bacteroidota; Sphingobacteriia; Sphingobacteriales; Sphingobacteriaceae.